UGAGUAACACGUGAGUGACCUGCCUUUUAGACUGGAACAACUUACCGAAAGGUGAGCUAAUGCCGGAUGAGUUAUAUAAGUGCAUGUUUAUAUAGGAAAAGUUGGGAGACCUGACGCUGAAAGAUGGACUCGCGUCCCAUUAGCUAGUUGGUAGGGUAAUGGCCUACCAAGGCGACGAUGGGUAGCCGGCCUGAGAGGGUGGCCGGCCACACUGGGACUGAGACACGGCCCAGACUCCUACGGAAGGCAGCAG
Molecule: ribosomal RNA, 253 nt
Filed under: uncultured bacterium
Lineage: Bacteria
Description: partial 16S ribosomal RNA
Rfam family: Bacterial small subunit ribosomal RNA
Source: RNAcentral